Molecule: ribosomal RNA, 497 nt
Filed under: uncultured bacterium
Lineage: Bacteria
Description: partial 16S ribosomal RNA
Rfam family: Bacterial small subunit ribosomal RNA
Source: RNAcentral
GAUGAACGCUGGCGGCGUGCCUAAUACAUGCAAGUCGAGCGAACAGACGAGGAGCUUGCUCCUCUGACGUUAGCGGCGGACGGGUGAGUAACACGUGGAUACCUACCUAUAAGACCGGGGAAACUUUGGGAAAACGGGGCUAAAACCGGGAAAUAUAAUGAAACCCAUGGGUCAAUAGGGAAAGAAGGGUUUGGCGGUACCUAAAGAAUGGUUCCGCGCCGCAUUAGCUAGUUGGUAAGGUAACGGCUUACCAAGGCAACGAUGCGUAGCCGACCUGAGAGGGUGAUCGGCCACACUGGAACUGAGACACGGUCCAGACUCCUACGGGAGGCAGCAGUAGGGAAUCUUCCGCAAUGGGCGAAAGCCUGACGGAGCAACGCCGCGUGAGUGAUGAAGGUCUUCGGAUCGUAAAACUCUGUUAUUAGGGAAGAACAAAUGUGUAAGUAACUAUGCACGUCUUGACGGUACCUAAUCAGAAAGCCACGGCUAACUACGUG